UAAGACGAACCGUCCAAACGUUAUUCGGAAUCACUGGGCUUAAAGGGUGCGUAGGCGGCGCGGAAAGUUGGGUGUGAAAUCCCUCGGCUCAACCGAGGAAUUGCGCCCAAAACUUCCGUGCUCGAGGAAGAUAGAGGUGAGCGGAACUUAGGGUGGAGCGGUGAAAUGCGUUGAUAUCCUAAGGAACACCGGUGGCGAAAGCGGCUCACUGGAUCUUUUCUGACGCUGAGGCACGAAAGCUAGGGUAGCGAACGG
This 255-nucleotide ribosomal RNA is filed under the name uncultured prokaryote. Its description in RNAcentral is "partial 16S ribosomal RNA". It matches the Rfam family "Bacterial small subunit ribosomal RNA", at positions 521 to 775 of the family's 1533-position model. The record is from RNAcentral.